Molecule: ribosomal RNA, 484 nt
Filed under: uncultured bacterium
Lineage: Bacteria
Description: partial 16S ribosomal RNA
Rfam family: Bacterial small subunit ribosomal RNA
Source: RNAcentral
AUUGAACGCUGGCGGCAGGCCUAACACAUGCAAGUCGAGCGGAUGAAGGGAGCUUGCUCCUGGAUUCAGCGGCGGACGGGUGAGUAAUGCCUAGGAAUCUGCCUGGUAGUGGGGGAUAACGUCCGGAAACGGGCGCUAAUACCGCAUACGUCCUGUGGGAGAAAGUGGGGGAUCUUCGGACCUCACGCUAUCAGAUGAGCCUAGGUCGGAUUAGCUAGUUGGUGGGGUAAAGGCCUACCAAGGCGACGAUCCGUAACUGGUCUGAGAGGAUGAUCAGUCACACUGGAACUGAGACACGGUCCAGACUCCUACGGGAGGCAGCAGUGGGGAAUAUUGGACAAAGGGCGAAAGCCUGAUCCAGCCAUGCCGCGUGUGUGAAGAAGGUCUUCGGAUUGUAAAGCACUUUAAGUUGGGAGGAAGGGCAGUAAGUUAAUACCUUGCUGUUUUGACGUUACCAACAGAAUAAGCACCGGCUAACUUCGUG